Molecule: non-coding RNA, 5868 nt
Organism: Loxodonta africana (African savanna elephant)
Lineage: Eukaryota; Metazoa; Chordata; Mammalia; Proboscidea; Elephantidae
Source: the annotation of a RefSeq genome assembly
UAAAAGGUCAGCUCUAAUCUGCCUUUACUUAUCAGGAUUUAUUCUUUCAGCUUCUCACAAUGAAGUUUCCUGCUCAGCUCCUGGGGCUGUUAAUGCUCUGGAUCCCUGCAUCCAGCGGGGAUAUUGUGAUGACCCAGACUCCACUCUCCCUGCCCAUCACACUUGGAGAGCCGGCCACCAUCUCCUGCAAGUCCAGUGAGAGCCUCGUAGAUAGUGAUGGAUACACCUAUUUGUACUGGUACCAGCAGAAGCCGGGCCAUCCUCCACGGCUCCUGAUCUAUGAGGUUUCUAACCGGUACUCUGGGGUCCCAGACAGGUUCAGUGGCAGUGGGUCAGGGACAGAUUUCACUCUGAAAAUCAGCAAAGUGGAAGCUGAGGAUGUCGCAGUUUAUUACUGCAUGCAAGCUACAAAAGAUCCACCCACAGUGGUACAACCUUGCACAAAAACUUCUCUGCUUGGGGUGGCCCAGCUGCCCAAAUGUGUGGCCUGUGUGGGGAGCAGCACAGCAGAUUCUCUGCAUCUGCUAAGAGGAAGAUGUCGGAGACCUCAGGGGAAUGGGUUGCAGCUGAGGACUCUGGACCAUGAGAGCAUCUGCUACACCUCAGACACUGCCUGUUUGUGGCCGGUCAGCUGCACCAGUCUUGACAUGGCAGAGCCAGCAGGGAGGAUGAAGGAGGUCUGAGUGCCCCUGAGCAAGUAGACCUGAUGCAAGGAGAGCUGACUGAGAGCUCCUCCUAAUCCUCCUGCCUGUGUACAUUUGUCAGUUAAAUUUAGUCAGCAUGACAGGCAGACAAUUGACACCAACGUGGCAACACAAGUUGAGAACAUGUGGAGGUUUACCAGGCUUCUUUGUAUAUUUCAUCAGGAUAAUAUUGGUGAUAUUUAGAAAUUAGUAUUGUCCCACUCUCACAACCCCAUGCUUCUCAUUUUACCACUUAUGCUUCCCCUUGAAUUAAGAUAGUUGAAAUAUCAUUCUAUAUUAGCUGUCCCCAGGGGGAGUGUGGCUGAGAAGAAUUUGCAAAGAUGUUGGUUUUGAGUCUCCAAAUGGCCUUUUGUAAAUUUAUUACAAACACAAGAUCCUAAUUCCACAAGUCUUUGAAUUUCCGCAAAUACUUCUUGUUCAGAAAAAUAAGGAGUUUUUGGUAUUUCAAAAGAUGAGUUUUAAAAAUAAACAGCAUAAACUGGAAUAGAAGAAAAAAGAAUAAUGUGCCUUAUGCUUUCCAUUUUUUUUUAAUAACUACAUAUUUAUCUUUACCUGUGCUCUUUGGUUUUUCCUGUGGAUUGAGAUUGUUGGUGACAGUUCAUCAGCGGAGGUUACAUGACCUGCAGCUCUUCUGGUGGAGCGCUCUGAGGAAGUGCAGGACAGUUAUGUGGCUGACCCUGAUCCUCUUGGUUAAACUGAGUGUGAUACAGGCGAAGAACAUGCUAACAUAAAGGUUUAAAAAGUAUAUACAGGCAGUCCUCAGAUUAUGACAAGUUCCUUUCCUAAGUCUGACUCUAAGUCAAAUUUGUACAGAAGUUGUAACAGGUUAUUUGUCUACCAACAAACCUUUUUGACAUAGUCCUUGUUGUUAGGUAUCAUUGAGUCUGUUCCAACUGACCAUAAAGACCCUAUGUACACAGAAACACUGCCCAGUCUUGUGUCAUCCUCACAAUCGUUGCUGUCGAAACACAUCCUUGCAGACUCUGGGUCAGUCUGUCUCAUUGAGGGUCUUCCUCUUUUUCAUUGACCCUCUUCUCUACCAAGCUGUCUUACUUAUCUAAUGCUGCUAGAACAGAAAUACCACAAGUGGAUAGUUUAACAAAGAGAAAUUAAUUCUCUCACAGUCUAGUAGGCUUGAAGUCCAAAUUCGGGGUGUCAGUUCCAGGGGAAGGCUUUUGCUCUCUGUUUGUUCUGGAGGAAGGUGCUUGUCAUCAAUCUUCCUUUGGUCUAGGAGCGGAGCUUCUCAGACCAGGAACCUCGGGUUCCUGGCUGCUGCUGCCAAGAAUGCUCCCCAAGGUGGGCAGGGAAGUUACUUUUAAGGGGUUUACAAGUAGGGAGUUCAUACAAGUUACUUCUGCAACAUUCUUAACCAUACUACACAGGUGCAAUGGCAUUCACAUAUAACCUCCCGGCAAAAGCAGGAUUCAGAUGCAAAGCUGUGGGGAGGACGCCCAACACAGUAAACAAGAUUUGUAACACACCACUUGGGGGAGGGAGCCAAGCAAAGAAAACAUGAUUUUUAAUACAUCACUGUGGGGGCUCUGUCUCAGAAUACAGGACACCUGACAAUAGGAAUAAAUCAGGACAGUAGUAUAUUACCUUAGCUCUCAGAUUUUUCCCCAAAUUCAACUGUUAAUUAUGACCAACUUUUUUUUACCAAAUCAGGAGGGAAUGUAAGCCUUUCCGCAGCAAGUCAUUUUCAACAAUAAGAAGGCUUCUACUUCAGGGCCCUUGCUAUCCAGUUCUAAAUUGAAAUUAACAAGGUAAACUUCAGCACUGUGUGAGGAUAUUAUAAGGAUCUAAUAAACAGAGUUGAGAAAAUUCUCACAUACUGAUUCAUAAUGAUAAACUAGCUAGGUUAAACAUAUCCCCUAAGAUUGCCUGGUAGCAGUGACACCCUAAUAAAGAUGUACACGCCUAACGUCCCAACAACAUGGCUUUUAAGUACCUUUCUCCAGUAAAAGGAACAACGGUUUCUCAGAGGAAUAGGCAUUUCCAGGACUGGGUGGUGGCAGGGGGGUAGGGAGAAAGUACUACAUAAGCUUUGUACAUUGUGUGGUGAAAAUUAAGGGAAAGCUCAAAAGUGAUGGAAUGAUUCAAAUGACACAGAAGAGGCUCUCACUGGCCCAAUCUGGGACAAUAUGAGGAUGAAAAUAAAUUAUGAUGAUAAUGAAUUAUAAUUCUUUGAAAGAAGUGAGAAUCUGUAUCCACAAUGAUGUGCAUAAAUGAAUGAAUGAAUUGAAAGUUUUAUAAGAAAUGAAAUAUUUACAUGAUUAUAAAAUAACUGCCCACAAAAUACUAGUAUAUUAUAUAGAGAAAAAGAGUAACGUUCACAGUGGGGAACCCUGGAACACCCUGCCUUAAUCAAGUGAUCAAAGUGCCUUCCACUUCGCUAAGCAUUUACUUUCUUAUUUGCCUUCAGUACAGCUUGGACUUCUUCCCUCAGCACGAUUGCUUCCUGAUCAUAUGCUACCUCCUGAAAUGGUUGAACGUUGACCAAUUCUUUUUUGUAUGAUGACUCUGUGUAUUCCUUCCAUAUUCUUUUGAUGCUUUCUGUGUCUUUUAAUAUUUUCCCCACAGAAUAUUUCACUAUUUCAACUCGAGGCUUGAAUUUUUUCUUCAGUUCUUUGAACUUGAGAAAUGCCUAGCAUGUUCUUUCCUUUUGGUUUUCUAUCUCUAUCUUUUCACACAUGUCCUUAUAAUAUUUCACUGUUUCUUCUUGGGCUGCCUUUGGAACCUUCUGUUCAGUUCUUUUACUUCAUCAUUUCUUCCUUUUGGAAAUUGCAGAGUCUCUUCUGACAUCCAUUUAGGUCUUUUCUUUCUUUCCUGUCCGUUUAAUGACCUGUUGCUUUCUUCAUGUAUGAUGUCCUUGAUGUCAUUCCACAACUCAUCUGGUCUUUGGUCAUUAGUGUUCAAUGUGUCAGAUCUAUUCUUGAGAUGGUCUCUAGAUUCAGAUGAGAUAUACUCAAGGUCGUACUUUGGCUCUUGUGGACUUGUUCUAAUUUUCUUCACUUUCAACUUGAACUUGCAUAUGAGCAAUUGAUGGUAUGUUCCACAUGUAGCCCCUGGCCUUGUUCUGACUGAUGAUGUUGAGCUUUUCUGUAGUCUCUUUCCACAGAUGUAGCUGAUUUGAUUCCUAUGUAUUCCAUCUGGUGAGGUCCAUGUUGGUGAAAAAAGGUAUUUGCAAUGAAGAAGUCGUUGAUCUUUCAAAAUCUGAUCAUGUGAUCUCCAGCAUCAUUUCUAUCCCCAAGGCCCUGUUUUCCAACUACCUGUCCUUCUUCUUUGCUUCCUACUUUUGCAUUCCAAUCACCAGUAAUUAUCAAUGAAUCCUGAUUGCUUGUUUGAUCAAUUUCAGACUGCAGAAGGUGGUAAAAACCUUCAAUUUCUUCAACUUUGACCUUAGUGAUUGGUGUGUAAAUUUGAAUAAUAGUCAUAUUAAGUGGUUUUCCUUGUGGGUAUAUGGAUAUUAUCCUAUCACUGACAGCAGUAUACUUCAGGAUAGAUCUUGAAAUGUUCUUUUUAAUGAUGAAUGCAAUGCCAUUUCUCUUCAAGUUGUCUUUUCCGGCAUAGUAGACCAUAUGAUUGUCUGAUUCAGUAUGGCCAAUACCAGUCCAUUUCAGCUCACUAAUGCCUAGGAUAUCGAUGUUUAUGUAUUCCAUUUCAUUUCUGAGAAUUUCCAAUUUUCUUAGAUUCUUAACUUUGUACAUUCCAUGCCCUAGUUAUUAGUGGGUGUUUGUAGCUGUUUCUUCUCAUUUUGGGUCCUGCCACAUCAGCAAAUGAAGGUCCCAAAAGCUUGAUUCCAUCCAUGUCAUUAAGGUUGACUCUACUUUGAGGAGGCAGCUCUUCCCCAGUUGUCUUUUGAGUGCCUUCCAACCUGGGGGGCUCAUCUUCCGGCACCAUAUCAGACAAUGUUCUGCUGCUAUUCAUAAGGUUUUCACUGGCUAAUGCUUCUCAGAAGCAGACUACCGGGUCUUUCUUCCUGGUCUGUCUUAGUCUGAAAUCUCAGCUGAAACCUGUCCUCAUGGGUGACCCUGCUGGUAUCUGAAGCAGGUGGCAGAGCCUCCAGCAUCCCAGCAACAGCAACAUACCCCCACAGGAUGACAAACUGACAGACUCCUGAGGGAAAAGUAGCUUUGCUAAGUAAUAAAGGUCAUUUUGCCUUGGGCAUUGUAGUGUUUUGAAGAUUUAUCUACGUGCAGUCAGUUUCAAGACACAGGAACUCCAGGGAUGAACUGAAAGCUGUGAUUUAGAGUAAAUUAUUACUGUGUUCCCGAGCUCUUUUCCAUGGCAAUGUGGAUAAGAAUCUUGGGGUAUAAGAAUGUUGGGAGGUUCUUUUCUCUCUUCAAUACUUUGAAUCUCUAGUCAGAAGUGUUGCCUGAUUUGCAAAUUGUAUGUUAAAUAAACUUGAAAUCAAUUAAUAUUAUUGUCUUAAUAUGAUUUUUUUUUUUUAACACUUCUCCCAGGGCCCAACUGAAGAUUAUUCUUACACUAUAUGAAUUCUUAUUUCCAUACAGGGUACAGCAAAACAUUCCAUCUCUCUGUGCAGGUUAAGAAUCAAAUUAUUAAUGAGGAAUGCUGAAUUUUCAAGGUGAAGACUAAAAUUGCUUUAUUAAGUUUCAUAAAGAAAGAACACAUCAAAAACACCCCAAAAUUCAAAAGAUAAAAAUGAAAGAAAAGGGGGAUGAGAGUAAAAACAUUAACAAAUGAAAUAGGGACCAGUAAUAUUCUCCUCCCACAGUUUGUCACCAGCAUCCAGGUUCUUGGAUGGCAGCUCAAUGAUCAAACUUAACAUUUCUGUUCAAUAUCUCAUUUUACCAAAUAUCAUAUUCUUGUCAUAGAGUAACAACCUGAACUUUGAUUAAAACAAAAUUGAGAGGUUAAUUAAAACAGGUCUAGCUGGGAAGAGACUCAAUUCCACAGAGUAAAAACAAGUACUUCAAAAUGACAGAUCUACAGAGACAUUUUAUUAGAGGAGAAGAACGAACUAGAAGUAUAUAGCUUGACUGAUACUUAGAAACUUACGUCAUUGCAAGGCGGGAAGUACACGGCUUGAUUCGUAGUUUCAAACUUACGCCAUCACAAGGUGGGACUUCCUGUAGUGGGAGCUCAUAAGGCAGGACUUCUUAUAGCUGGGUAGUCACCAGAUAAAAAAUAGUUAGGGCAU